GAUGAACGCUGGCGGCGUGCCUAAUACAUGCAAGUCGAGCGAACGGACGAGAAGCUUGCUUCUCUGGCGUUAGCGGCGGACGGGUGAGUAACACGUGGAUAACCUACCUAUAAGACUGGGAUAACUUCGGGAAACCGGAGCUAAUACCGGAUAAUAUAUUGAACCGCAUGGUUCAAUAGUGAAAGACGGUCUUGCUGUCACUUAUAGAUGGAUCCGCGCUGCAUUAGCUAGUUGGUAAGGUAACGGCUUACCAAGGCAACGAUGCAUAGCCGACCUGAGAGGGUGAUCGGCCACACUGGAACUGGGACACGGUCCAGACUCCUACGGGAGGCAGCAGUAGGGAAUCUUCCGCAAUGGGCGAAAGCCUGACGGAGCAACGCCGCGUGAGUGAUGAAGGUCUUCGGAUCGUAAAACUCUGUUAUUAGGGAAGAACAUAUGUGUAAGUAACUGUGCACGUCUUGACGGUACCUAAUCAGAAAGCCACGGCUAACUACGUG
RNAcentral lists this ribosomal RNA (497 nucleotides) under uncultured bacterium. RNAcentral's name for it is "partial 16S ribosomal RNA". It matches the Rfam family "Bacterial small subunit ribosomal RNA", at positions 28 to 507 of the family's 1533-position model. The record is from RNAcentral.